This 484-nucleotide ribosomal RNA is filed under the name uncultured bacterium. RNAcentral's name for it is "partial 16S ribosomal RNA". It matches the Rfam family "Bacterial small subunit ribosomal RNA", at positions 899 to 1397 of the family's 1533-position model. The record is from RNAcentral.
ACUCAAAUGAAUUGACGGGGGCCCGCACAAGCAGCGGAGCGUGUGGUUUAAUUCGAGGCUACACGAAGAACCUUACCUGGACUUGACAUACGGCUAGUACUGAACCGAAAGGGGAAGGACCGCAAGGAGGCCGUACAGGUGCUGCAUGGCUGUCGUCAGCUCGUGCCGUGAGGUGUUAGGUUAAGUCCUGUAACGAGCGCAACCCUCGGCUGCAGUUACAUGUGUCUGCAGCGACUGCCCGUGACAAGCGGGAGGAAGGUGGGGAUGACGUCAAGUCAGCAUGGCCUUUAUGUUCAGGGCGACACACACGCUACAAUGGUCGGUACAAUGGGUGGCCAAGCCGCAAGGCGGAGCCAAUCCAGCAAAGUCGAUCUCAGUUCGGAUUGGGGGCUGCAACCCGCCCCCAUGAAGUCGGAGUUGCUAGUAACCGCGCAUCAGCUAUGGCGCGGUGAAUACGUUCCCGGGCCUUGUACACACCGCCCGU